GGGCCCGUAGCUUAGCAUGGUUAUAGCGCCCGGCUGAUAACCGGGAGGUCGAGGGUUCAAAUCCCUCCGGGCCCA
Molecule: transfer RNA, 75 nt
Filed under: Candidatus Acidianus copahuensis
Lineage: Archaea; Thermoproteati; Thermoproteota; Thermoprotei; Sulfolobales; Sulfolobaceae
Also listed under: 1 other name
Description: tRNA-Ile
Rfam family: tRNA
About the family: Transfer RNA (tRNA) molecules are approximately 80 nucleotides in length. Their secondary structure includes four short double-helical elements and three loops (D, anti-codon, and T loops).
Source: RNAcentral